CAGAGUUUACAACUCCCAAACCCAAAUGUGAACAUACCAAUCGUUGCUUCGGCGGACUCGUCCCGGCGUCCGGGUGGCCUUGCGCCGCCCGCGGCCCGGAUCCAGGCGGCCGCCGGAGGCCAUCAAACUCUUUGUAUUACCAGUAUCGUCUGAAUCCGCCGCAAGGCAAAACAAAUGAAUCA
Molecule: unclassified non-coding RNA, 182 nt
Filed under: uncultured Lecanicillium
Lineage: Eukaryota; Fungi; Ascomycota; Sordariomycetes; Hypocreales; Cordycipitaceae
Description: sequence contains ITS1
Source: RNAcentral